Molecule: ribosomal RNA, 468 nt
Filed under: uncultured bacterium
Lineage: Bacteria
Description: partial 16S ribosomal RNA
Rfam family: Bacterial small subunit ribosomal RNA
Source: RNAcentral
GAUGAACGCUGGCGGCGUGCUUAACACAUGCAAGUCGAACGGAAAGGCCCUGCUUUUGGGGGGUGCACGAGUGGCGAACGGGUGAGUAAAACGCGAGUAUCCUGCACUUGUCUUUGGGAUAAAUUCAGGAAACUGGGGAUAAUAUCGGAUAGGAGAUCCUGCUGCACGGUGGGCGUUGGAAAGUUUCGGCGGUUGUGGAUGGACUCGAGGCUUAUCAGCUUGUUGGUGGGGUAGUGGCGUACCAAGGCUUUGACGGGUAGCCGGCCUGAGAGGGUGACCGGCCACAAUGGGACUGAGAUACGGCCCAGACUCCUACGGGAGGCAGAAGUGGAGAAUAUUGCACAAUGGGCGGAAGCCUGAUGCAGCAACGCCGCGUGCGGGAUGACGUCCUUCGGGUUGUAAACCGCUGUCGCCUGUGACGAAGCGUGAGUGACGGUAAUGGGUAAAGAAGCACCGGCUAACUACGUG